Molecule: long non-coding RNA, 1939 nt
Organism: Balaenoptera musculus (blue whale)
Lineage: Eukaryota; Metazoa; Chordata; Mammalia; Artiodactyla; Balaenopteridae
Exons: 2
Source: RefSeq, a predicted model, not a curated record
CGGCCGCUGAGCCUCUGCGCCUGCGCAGAUGCGCUGACCCGGAAGACACAGGGACAAAAGAGGGAAUUGUUUCAGAACUGGAAGAGAAUGACCCGGCCAGCACCUGCACAAGACUCCACACUGCAAAGGCUAACCCAGAUCAGUUGGCAGGGGAGGGAGCGGUGGUUUCUGGGCAGAGUGCAGGGUCCUUGGAGAUUCUACAUUCAGCCACUAGAUGGUGAAGCACACAGGAGAAAAACCCACGUGGAGCCCCAAUCCAAUCAGCCCUCGUCAGACCUCACUGACAGCAAGUUUUGCAAGGUACCUGGGAGUCAGUUUCUGAAGAUGUAAGCUCUCUAACAAGGGCAAAACUACUAAAGUCGUCAAAUCGGUCAAAGGAACUCUGGAUGAACUGGUUCCAGCCAGCUUUCAAGGCAGCUGUCCCAAGUUAAGCACAAAGAAGGGGAGGGGAAAGAGGGCGCCUGAGGUCCUGAGCACUUGAUGUACCCCAAGCUGUGUUGUGAGCUUCAGGACAUGGGCUCAUCUACACCUCACAGAAAUCCUGUGGCAGGAGUCUCUGCUGGUAACUGAGCGGGAACAAGGCUCACGUUAAAUCCAAGGUCAGACCUAGAGUGUGGGGAGCCAAGACUCAACACAAGUCUGACCCCAAAGCUUGUGCUUUUCCUAGCGUUCCCACAAAUCACUUACGAUUUCUAUUGAAAUAGAAUCUUUGCUUGAUCUUUCCAGGAAACUGUCCAACCAAUUGGUAUCUUUGGAAAGGCUGGGCUGGAUCUUCCCUAGCAAGGCCUUCCACCUGCAACUUUUUUUUCUCCAGCCAUUUCUCUCUUUGACCAGACUACAUAAGGAAGCAGGAAACCUUCCUCUUCUUCUUCUUCUUUUUUUUGGCCAUGCUGAGCAGCUUUCAGGAUCUUGGUUCCCCAGCCAGGGAUUGAACCCGGGCCACCACAAGUGAAGCACCGAGUCCUAACCACUGGACCGCCAGGGAACUCCCUGGGAAACGUUCUUCAAACCCUGUGAUUGAACUGGACAGGGAAUGGACUGCUGUCUGUAAGCAGCCAACAGCCAGCAGCUUUUCAGAGUUACUUAGUGGGCAAAUUUGUUAACUUUGCUUUAUUUCUCCGUAUGUUUACAUUAAAAAGAAAUUCACACAAAUAAAACAGCUCGAUAAAAAGUAUGAAUUACCUGAUAACCUUUAUUCGGAAAGUGAGAGUAAUUCUGAAACAGUGCCUCGUGAGGUGCGUCAGACAAUGCCUUUGUUCCCAGCGUGUGCACGGGUGCUGCCCAGUCCUGCACUCCCCUAAGGCACCUGUUAAGAUGUCAUCCUGUUGGGCCACAAGAUGGCGGCAGCAUCUUAGCCAGCUUUACAGUUACGUGGGCAGAACGACUGAAGGAGGCACUGACACUUCAUGAACCAGGUGGCGUGCUGAAGUCCCAGAUCCUCGCUCUAUGCAUUGUGCUCUCCAGCGAAUGAUCCCAGCCUGUGUUUGAUUCACAUGCACAAAAACAAGUGUGACACCCCCCCACCCAUCCCCAGCUUGGGCAGCAAGGAGUCUGCUCCACUUAGGACACGAUUUCCCACCCUUCCUCCACACUGUCAGAAUCUUCCAAGGAGGAUGAAAACAGAAACAAAACUAGGAUGCCAGAAAGAAAGAAACUCUGAUACACAAAAGCAAAGACAUGCGGGGGGUCAGGGGGUGGGAAUGAGAGAGAGGAAGACAAGAGGUUAAACGAUGCAGUUACACUGCUUAUUUAGAAAGAUGUUACGAGACACACUAGAUAAAAGUAAAACCCAUCCAGCUCCCUUCCUCCACAAGAUAUUUUAAUGCAGCAAGCGAGACUACAUCCUUCUUGUAGUAAGCACUGUUAGUAUUCAACACUUUAACAUUUAUGGUGCAUCACAUAAAAACAAAGUCAAAUGCUUUUGCAUAAAUCAAAAAAA